This 498-nucleotide ribosomal RNA is filed under the name uncultured bacterium. RNAcentral describes it as "partial 16S ribosomal RNA". It matches the Rfam family "Bacterial small subunit ribosomal RNA", at positions 28 to 523 of the family's 1533-position model. The record is from RNAcentral.
GAUUAACGCUGGCGGCAUGCCUUACACAUGCAAGUCGAACGGUAACAGGUCUUCGGAUGCUGACGAGUGGCGAACGGGUGAGUAAUACAUCGGAACGUGCCUAGUAGUGGGGGAUAACUACUCGAAAGAGUGGCUAAUACCGCAUGAGAUCUACGGAUGAAAGCAGGGGAUCGCAAGACCUUGUGCUACUAGAGCGGCCGAUGGCAGAUUAGGUAGUUGGUGGGAUAAAAGCUUACCAAGCCGACGAUCUGUAGCUGGUCUGAGAGGACGAUCAGCCAGACUGGGACUGAGACACGGCCCAGACUCCUACGGGAGGCAGCAGUGGGGAAUGUUGGACAAUGGGCGAAAGCCUGAUCCAGCAAUGCCGCGUGCAGGAUGAAGGCCUUCGGGUUGUAAACUGCUUUUGUACGGAACGAAAAGCCCCGGGUUAAUACCCUGGGGUCAUGACGGUACCGUAAGAAUAAGCACCGGCUAACUACGUGCCAGCCGCCGCCGUAA